Molecule: small RNA, 1930 nt
Filed under: Theobroma cacao (cacao)
Lineage: Eukaryota; Viridiplantae; Streptophyta; Magnoliopsida; Malvales; Malvaceae
Description: sRNA Tc07v2_g004230
Source: RNAcentral
UUGCUCUAUAGAAUUUACUGUGCAUAGAAUGUUGAAUAUUUUUUCACUACUAUAUCGUUAUAAGAUUUUCAUUUUCCAUAGAAAAAUAAGAGGUGUCAUGACUUGCUCACCAACUCCCUUUCGAGGCAUUCUUGAAAUACUAGUUAUCUAUGAAUGGAGGCAAACAACACUUGCCAAGUGGUGGCUUGAGUGACUGGGAGAAUAGUCUGGAGCUGAGCUGGUUGGAAAACCCCUUUGCUUCUUUUAAAAUCAAUGUCAAUAAUUCCAUAUUGGCCAUUCUUGGAGGUCUUUAAAUUGUGGCUUCAAUUCUAGUCUGUGGGCCUCUACUUAAUUAACCCAAACUAUUAAGGGGACCUAAAUACAAAUGUUCUUUCCAAUGUAUAUGGAGAAGACUUUUGGGAUACUGUUCUGGGAUUUACUAUUUGCUACACUUGGGUGCUGCAAAGUGUCAAAGAAUUGUCAAUCAAAGAAUGUCCCCAGUUAUCAGAAAGAUGUUAAAAGGAGACAGAAAUCCUGUGGCCUCACAUUGCUCUCAUCUUGACUAUUUAUAUUGAUGGCCAACAGUUCAAUGAUGAUCAUACAAUAUAGGUAACCGUAUUUUUCUUCACCUCUGUUUAUAUUUUCUCCCUUUAUCUGAUAAUUCCUUCUUCUUUUUUUUUAUUUUUCUUCUGGGAUUUGAAUGAUUCAUACUUUGUUCUUUACAUGUAAUCCAAGUUGGUACACUGAUUCGCCUAUAAUUUGUACAGAUAGCAUACUUGUUGUGAAAGCAUUAAAUUUUAUACUCUUGUACAGAUAAACGUACUUAAGUUACCUAAUUAUUCUGAUUUUUCAUUUUGUUAUAUCAAUUCCUAACUUCUUCUGUUUAACAUAAGUAUAAAAUGGAGUUAUGGACAGAUUAUUGUUAGUUGUUUCACUUCCCCUAUUUUUAUGCAUCGAUUAAUGCAAAAUAUCUCUUAUACAAUGAGGCAACAUUGGAUGUUUGCGUCGUAUCUUUUCAGAAGCAAAACCAAAAUUAAAUGGAAAAGGAUCGCAAGACAGAUUGCUUCUAUCACAGAGAUUCUAAGUAAUUGAAACACUGGUGAAAUAAGCUGAGAUGUGAGAGUGAGUAUCCCUAAAAUUUACAGCUACAAGUUUGUUAGAGGGCUUAUCUCCAGUCAAGACUCCUAAGCUGAAAGCUAGUAAUAAGAGAAACUAACGUGAAUGUCUGCUUGUACAUUUCCUGCUGUAUUUGUUGUGAUGAGGAGAUAUUGCUAUAGGAUGAUUUCAUCUUGCUAAUUUCCUUCCAGAGCAGACAGUUUUUGAAUUCAAACCAAGAGAAAUAUCUAUUGUUUGAGAAAGAACAUACAGAUUUCAACUUGCCAAUGCCAUUGUGAAGUAUAGUUAAAUUUUACUCUCAACAGCAUCAUCACUAUCUAUGUAACAAAGGCUACACAACAUGCAACUCUUUCACCUUCUCUUAUCAAGAAGUGAGCCUUGAUCUAACGAUCUUGAAUUCAAGUUAGUUGUGAAUGGAGUCAACCAACGCUUGCUAAGUAGUGGCUUGAGUGGUUGGGAGAAGUGCCUGGAGAGCUAAGCUGGUUGGAAAAACCCUUUGCUUCUUUCAAAUUCAAUGUGAAUGGUUCCAUCUUGGCCAUUCUUGGAGGUGUUUGAGCGGUGGCUUCAAUUCUAUUCUUUAGGCAUUUACUUAUUUAACCCAAACUGUUAAAGAGGACUUAAAUACAAAGGUUCUUUCAUAAUGUACAUAUGGAGAAGACUUUUUGGGCGUCUGAGUCUGAAGAACAUUAAGGAUUUAGAAGUUUUGCCAGAAGAGUUCCUACUGCUGUACUGCCUUAAAUUGGAAUUGCUACUGCCUUAAAAGCAUUGUCCGUAAGCAAUUGUCCUAAUCUGAGGGCUUUGCCAGACUGGAUACCUAAUAUCACUUCCCUUAAAA